Ixodes scapularis (black-legged tick) is the source of this 261-nucleotide long non-coding RNA. RefSeq lists it as uncharacterized. The record is from RefSeq and is a predicted model, not a curated record. NCBI's taxonomy places the organism in Eukaryota, Metazoa, Arthropoda, Arachnida, Ixodida, Ixodidae. The transcript is spliced from 4 exons.
GGCGAGCUGUCAUCUCGGCACCGUUCACCAACCAGUCAUUUCUCUCAAGAGUGGACACAUGUCAGCCGCCAUGAAUCUCGUGGAGAGCUGUCACCUCAGCACCGUUCAGCACCCAGUUAUUCCUCUGAACAGUGGACACAUGGCAGUCGCCGUGAGCCUCGUGGAGAGCUGUCACCUCGACACCGUUCAGCAACCAACUAUUCCUCUCAAGAGUGGACACAUGGCUGUCGCCGCGAGCCUUGUGGAGAGCUGUCAACUCGG